This 1341-nucleotide long non-coding RNA is filed under the name Apteryx haastii (Great spotted kiwi). RNAcentral describes it as "lncRNA (ENSAHAG00000018129.1)". Lineage: Eukaryota; Metazoa; Chordata; Aves; Apterygiformes; Apterygidae. The record is from RNAcentral.
AUGGCUGGCUGCGCCCGUGCCCGGGGCCGCGGGAGCCCUGCCGGCAGGAGCCUGGCACAGGCGGGAACGGGAGCCCAAACGGCCAGCGAGGAAGGAAAAGCGCAGGGAGAAGAGGGCUGUUUGGCUGUGUCGUUCUCGUUAUUAUUAACAUUUCUUUUUGGCAUGAACACCAUCUGCUCACCUGAACUACGGACCGUCUUGUCUCUAGAAAUCUUUUGGUAUCUUCCCAUCCGGACGCACGCGCACACACACGCACACACACAAAAAAAAGGAAAAAUAAAAAGAGGGAAGGGAGAGCUCGGACUGCGGUCGUCCCGACCGGCGCGCGGCGGGGCCGGCCGGCGGGGGCCGAGCCGCGCGGGGCGCACGUAUUGCUUUGGGAGCGACGGGGCGGCGCGGGCGGCCGCGGGCCCCUUUCGCCGGGCGGCAUCGCUGUCACGCCGAGGCGGUGGCGCUUGGGGACCCGAGCGAGGACAGCUCACCGGACGCGCCCGCCGCGCUCGGCGUUCGCCCUCUGAGAACUUUCCACGGCUUCGGAGAUGGAGGAGGAAGAGGAGGAGGAGGAGGAGGAACCGGGCGCGGGAGCCUUUCCCUGAAUUCGAACCCGCGCCUCGGACUGGCGCGUCGCUCUCCGCUGCCCGGGCCCCGCGCCACCUUCCUGGCGUUUCACAGUAUGGGAUGGGGUGGGAAAGACGUCGCCCUCUCCACUUCCGACGGCGAGAAGAAAGCCGGGCUUGCGGCCGUGCUGCCUGGCGGUGGCGUUCGGCCAUCACCGCCUCGGUGCCGCCAGGCUCCCGGCAGGGACCGGAGCCGAUGGCAAACACAGGUUGGCUCUUCUGGUCUCCAAGUGGUUCAGCGAUGCGGCAGGGAGAGCCGGAGGCGACCUGCUUCCCAGCCAUGGAACGAAGGACCACGGCAGCGCACGCCCGUCUUCCAGGCCGCGGCAGGGGUCUCGCCCCGGUUUCUGCUGUUUUUUCCCCCAAAGCUGCCGUCCAGCUGGUGGGAGGCAGCGCCUGGGAAGGGUUCAAGGUUGCUCCUAGUGCAAAACCCCCUUGGGAAGGGGACGCGCCGGGGGGGUCCUGCCAUCGCCUUCCCUCCGAGGGGCGACGGCGGCCGGCAGAGGCGCGAGGCUCCGAGGCCGCCCAGGCUGCACGCGGCGCCGCUCAGCGGGUGUCCGGGGGAAAUCCUGGAGCUGCAUCUUCCCGAGCGGAGCAGAGCCCAGCCCGUGGCCCGUGGUCCCCACCACAAUACUGCCAGGGGGGACGGGACGGAGGGGCCUUCCUUAUGCGCCGGAGCCGAGGAUGCCGGGAAGGAAGGAGGGACAACUUCGGACAGAAAUGA